Molecule: ribosomal RNA, 506 nt
Filed under: uncultured bacterium
Lineage: Bacteria
Description: partial 16S ribosomal RNA
Rfam family: Bacterial small subunit ribosomal RNA
Source: RNAcentral
AUUGAACGCUGGCGGCAGGCUUAACACAUGCAAGUCGAGCGGUAACAGAGAGAAGCUUGCUUCACUGCUGACGAGCGGCGGACGGGUGAGUAAUGCCUAGGAAUCUGCCUAGUAGUGGGGGAUAACUUGCCGAAAGGUAAGCUAAUACCGCAUACGUCCUACGGGAGAAAGGAGGGGACCUUCGGGCCUUUCGCUAUUAGAUGAGCCUAGGUCGGAUUAGUUAGUUGGUGAGGUAAUGGCUCACCAAGACCGCGAUCCGUAACUGGUCUGAGAGGCUGAGCAGUCACACUGGAACUGAGACACGGUCCAGACUCCUACGGGAGGCAGCAGUGGGGAAUAUUGGGCAAUGGGGGGAACCCUGAUCCAGCCAUGCCGCGUGUGUGAAGAAGGUCUUAGGAUUGUAAAGCACUUUAAGUUGGGAGGAAGAGCAGUUAACUAAUAUUUGACUGUUUUGACGUUACCGACAGAAUAAGCACCGGCUAACUUCGUGCCAGCCGCCGCCGUAA